AUUGAACGCUGGCGGAAUGCUUUACACAUGCAAGUCGAACGGCAGCACGGGGGCAACCCUGGUGGCGAGUGGCGAACGGGUGAGUAAUACAUCGGAACGUGCCCAGUCGUGGGGGAUAACGUAGCGAACGCUACGCUAAUACCGCAUACGAACAUAAGUUGAAAGCGGGGGAUCGCAAGACCUCGCGCGAUUGGAGCGGGCGAUUGCAGAUGAGGUAGUUGGUGAGGUAAAGGCCUACAAAGCCGACGAUCUGUAGCUGGUCUGAGAGGACGACCAGCCACACUGGGACUGAGACACGGCCCAGACUCCUACGGGAGGCAGCAGUGGGGAAUUUUGGACAAUGGGCGCAAGCCUGAUCCAGCCAUUCCGCGUGCAGGAUGAAGGCCCUCGGGUUGUAAACUGCUUUUGUACGGAACGAAACGGUCCUGGUUAAUACCCGGGGCUAAUGACGGUACCGUAAGAAUUAGCACCGGCUAACUACGUGCCAGCCGCCGCGGUAA
This 500-nucleotide ribosomal RNA is filed under the name uncultured bacterium. RNAcentral describes it as "partial 16S ribosomal RNA". It matches the Rfam family "Bacterial small subunit ribosomal RNA", at positions 30 to 523 of the family's 1533-position model. The record is from RNAcentral.